RNAcentral lists this ribosomal RNA (468 nucleotides) under uncultured bacterium. RNAcentral describes it as "partial 16S ribosomal RNA". It matches the Rfam family "Bacterial small subunit ribosomal RNA", at positions 28 to 507 of the family's 1533-position model. The record is from RNAcentral.
GACGAACGCUGGCGGCGUGCUUAACACAUGCAAGUCGAACGGAAAGGCCCUGCUUUUGUGGGGUGCUCGAGUGGCGAACGGGUGAGUAACACGUGAGUAACCUGCCCUUGACUUUGGGAUAACUUCAGGAAACUGGGGCUAAUACCGGAUAGGAGCUCCUGCGGCAUGGUGGGGGUUGGAAAGUUUCGGCGGUUGGGGAUGGACUCGCGGCUUAUCAGCUUGUUGGUGGGGUAGUGGCUUACCAAGGCUUUGACGGGUGGCCGGCCUGAGAGGGUGACCGGCCACAUUGGGACUGAGAUACGGCCCAGACUCCUACGGGAGGCAGCAGUGGGGAAUAUUGCACAAUGGGCGGAAGUCUGAUGCAGCAACGCCGCGUGCGGGAUGACGGCCUUCGGGUUGUAAACCGCUUUCGCCUGUGACGAAGCGUGAGUGACGGUAAUGGGUAAAGAAGCACCGGCUAACUACGUG